AACGAACGCUGGCGGCAGGCCUAACACAUGCGAGUCGAGCGAGGACUUCGGUCCUAGCGGCGGACGGGUGAGUAACGCGUGGGAACGUGCCCUUUGCUUCGGAAUAGCCCUGGGAAACUGGGAGUAAUACCGGAUGAGCCCUUUGGGGGAAAGAUUUAUCGGCGAAGGAUCGGCCCGCGUUGGAUUAGGUAGUUGGUGGGGUAAUGGCCUACCAAGCCGACGAUCCAUAGCUGGUUUGAGAGGAUGAUCAGCCACACUGGGACUGAGACACGGCCCAGACUCCUACGGGAGGCAGCAGUGGGGAAUCUUAGACAAUGGGGGAAACCCUGAUCUAGCCAUGCCGCGUGAGCGAUGAAGGCCUUAGGGUUGUAAAGCUCUUUCAGCUGGGAAGAUAAUGACGGUACCAGCAGAAGAAGCCCCAGCUAACUCCGUG
Molecule: ribosomal RNA, 433 nt
Filed under: uncultured bacterium
Lineage: Bacteria
Description: partial 16S ribosomal RNA
Rfam family: Bacterial small subunit ribosomal RNA
Source: RNAcentral